UACGUAGGGUGCGAGCGUUAAUCGGAAUUACUGGGCGUAAAGCGUGCGCAGGCGGUUUUGUAAGCCAGAUGUGAAAUCCCCGGGCUCAACCUGGGAACUGCAUUUGUGACUGCAAGGCUGGAGUACGGUAGAGGGGGAUGGAAUUCCGCGUGUAGCAGUGAAAUGCGUAGAUAUGCGGAGGAACACCGAUGGCGAAGGCAAUCCCCUGGACCUGUACUGACGCUCAUGCACGAAAGCGUGGGGAGCAAACAGG
This 253-nucleotide ribosomal RNA is filed under the name uncultured bacterium. RNAcentral's name for it is "partial 16S ribosomal RNA". It matches the Rfam family "Bacterial small subunit ribosomal RNA", at positions 524 to 776 of the family's 1533-position model. The record is from RNAcentral.